Molecule: ribosomal RNA, 253 nt
Filed under: uncultured bacterium
Lineage: Bacteria
Description: partial 16S ribosomal RNA
Rfam family: Bacterial small subunit ribosomal RNA
Source: RNAcentral
UACAGAGGUCUCAAGCGUUGUUCGGAAUUACUGGGCGUAAAGGGUGCGCAGGCCGCGCGGGCAGUCAAAUGUGUAAUUCAGGGGCUCAACCCCUGCACUGCGCUUGGUACUUCCGCGCUCGAGCUUUGGAGAGGAGUCUGGAAUUCUCGGUGUAGCAGUGAAAUGCGUGGAUAUCGAGAAGAACACUUAGGGCGUAGGCAAGACUCUGGACAAAUGCUGACGCUCAUGCACGAAGGCUAGGGUAGCGAACGGG